AAUUAAACUGUAUAAAGGGCAACACAUG
Molecule: non-coding RNA, 28 nt
Filed under: Cricetulus griseus (Chinese hamster)
Lineage: Eukaryota; Metazoa; Chordata; Mammalia; Rodentia; Cricetidae
Source: RNAcentral